CGCACAUUGCGCCCAUUAGUAUUCUAGUGGGCAUGCCUGUUCGAGCGUCAUUUCAACCCUUAAGCCUAGCUUAGUGUUGGGAGUCUACUGUAUAGUAGUUCCCUAAAUUGAACGGCGGAUCUGCAGCAUCCUCUGAGCGUAGUAAAUCUUUUUCUCGCUUUUGUCAGGUGCUGUGGCUCUUGCCGCUAAACCCCCAAUUUUUUAAUGGUUGACCUCGGAUCAGGUAGGAAUACCCGCUGAACUUAA
This 246-nucleotide unclassified non-coding RNA is filed under the name Pestalotiopsis mangifolia. RNAcentral describes it as "partial contains 5.8S ribosomal RNA, internal transcribed spacer 2, and large subunit ribosomal RNA". Lineage: Eukaryota; Fungi; Ascomycota; Sordariomycetes; Amphisphaeriales; Sporocadaceae. The record is from RNAcentral.